RNAcentral lists this ribosomal RNA (389 nucleotides) under uncultured bacterium. Its description in RNAcentral is "bacterial SSU rRNA". It matches the Rfam family "Bacterial small subunit ribosomal RNA", at positions 29 to 409 of the family's 1533-position model. The record is from RNAcentral.
AAUGAACGCUGGCGGCGCGCCUAAUACAUGCAAGUCGAGCGAGAAGACGUAGCAAUACGUUUGUAAAGCGGCGAACGGGUGAGGAAUACAUGGGUAACCUACCCUCGAGUGGGGAAUAACUAGCCGAAAGGUUAGCUAAUACCGCGUACGCUUCUUGGACUUCGGUUCAGGGAGGAAAGCGAUACCGUGGGUAUCGCGCUCUUGGAUGGGCCCAUGUCCUAUCAGCUUGUUGGUGAGGUAACGGCUCACCAAGGCUUCGACGGGUAGCUGGUCUGAGAGGACGAUCAGCCACACUGGCACUGCGACACGGGCCAGACUCCUACGGGAGGCAGCAGUAAGGAAUAUUGCGCAAUGGGCAAAGCCUGACGCAGCGACGCCGCGUGGGGGAU